UUGAGCGGCUUGAUGCGAAUUGACAGCUGUUUGCCAGAUGCCCGAGGUUGGGGGAGCGUUCAGAGGCGACUGUCAGCCAGACUCACUGGCGGCACAACUUCAAAAACUACUGAUUUAAUUCGCCACGAAAGCGUUUGCAAUUAGCGAACGGUGACCACAGUUGGCGAUGUUCAGUAAACGCGGGAAAAUGGGCAAGGAACUGUGAAUUGUAUAAAGUAGUAAACUUCGCUAAUUCAUAAUUCAUAACUUCAGAUCGGUGACUUAAUUCGCGGUGCAAGGAGCGGCAAAACCCCAAAACUAUUGAUGUUCCCUAGUGCCAUCAGCAGCGGCAUAUGCAGAUAGGCAUACUUUAGAUCUGUCACUCUUCAUUAGCCCUAGCAUAGAUUGUCCUUAUUCCAAACAUGUGUAUCGAGUCGAGUUAUUGUAGCAAGCCGAGCCGUGUUAGCCGUCUUUUCAGUCCCCUCAACGUGAUCGCUGCCACAACUGUCAAGCAAUGCCGACGACGUACGGCUGUCGUCUCACAAUUAAUUGACAUUUUGACUGCCGAGGAUUGUCAUUCAAAGGCAAACUUCUUCGAGCGGAAUGCACCGAAGGAGCCCCUCGCCAAUUGACAGAGAUGCUGAGAUGCGGAGAUGCGGAGUCAUUCGCCGAACAGCAAAAGGCACACCAUUAACUACUGUCUUUGUCUGAACGGAAGGUCUGAGUGUUUGGUUUGAUAUGGAAGUUGCUCGAAACAUUCACAGAGGGGCUUAUAGUACGAUAUAUAAACUUAAUCCUCGCUGUAUUUACGGAAUGCACGGAAUGCCUUUAAGUCGCUGACUACUGCUGUUCCGAUCCGUUUCCAAGCUAGAUAAUCUGCCUCAGCGAUCUCAAAGGCCCAAAGGCACUUCAGCUGGCCCAGAUCUCUGGGGCUCUGCGAGGUUCUGCAGCUACGUUGGCAAUACAAUUGGCACAUGUUUGGCCAGUCCUGUCCCCGUCUGGAGCUACUUCGACGGUCUCUGGAGGGCAUCAGAGUUUGGGGAUCGGGAAUCGGGAAGCGAGAAUCGAGAAUCGAGAACCGAGAACCGGGAGACCUGACAGCCCGUGGCAUUGUUUGGGCUUUGGGGAAGAUUCGAAGAAACAGAAGAUGGCAUCUCCAAUGGGCGGCGAAGAGGGAGAGCGGUCGGGUCAAUUCACACGUGCGCAGGCGCGCAGUUCAAUUAACUUAAUUGCCAUGUAAUUACGAGGAGCAACAACAACAGCAACAGUGAGUAAUACCACGCCACAAACCACCACAUCGCAACGUCAUCUCCAACAUCCUGCUGCGCUGCGCAAAAGCGAAACUAAAGACUUAGGACACAAACCUGCUUUCGAGGCUUUUUGCGAUGGCACUUCUCUUAUACCCUCACAGAACUUUAUUACGGAUUUAAUUUGGGAAAUGUUAGCUUGUAUCAAUUUAAUAUCAACAAUUUAAUAUCAGUUUAAAGUCAACUAUUAACAUUUUUGCAACUAUCUGCCUUUUUUUAUUUAGGUGUGUGUUUUGCUAUAUUUAUGAGAUAGUGUGGAUACGAGAUCGUACUCACCACCUCAUCCACGACUUCCCCAGUGACUCCGACAUUCCAGUUGGAAUGGCCAGCCGGCUGCUCCUUCUUCUUUUGUUCCUCAACUCCAAAUCACUCCUCCCCCUGCUCCUCUCUUUCGCUUCCCAUUCGCCGAGUGGCUGGGAAGGCAUUUGAAAAACGUUGCCGCAUUUUUUGCAGCAGAAAAUAAGAAAA
Molecule: small RNA, 1754 nt
Filed under: Drosophila yakuba
Lineage: Eukaryota; Metazoa; Arthropoda; Insecta; Diptera; Drosophilidae
Description: GE27417
Source: RNAcentral